CGGAAACUAUAGAAAUCAGUGACGAUGAUGACAAACAAACAACCACAAGGAAAGUGUCAUUAACCACACCUGAGUCAACAGUUCAAACCAGGGCAGCUGUGCUGGCAAGACCUAAUUUCAGUCCGAUACAUUGCUCAGGAAAAGAGAUAGAAAACUUUUUUGGGGGAACUUGACAGCGGUGGCUACAUCACAGCACUUUUGGCAGCAUGUCCCGUCAAACGUCCGGCAAAUUUUGGAAGAAAAGUUUCUAUGAAACAAUCCUUGGCUG
Molecule: long non-coding RNA, 268 nt
Organism: Corticium candelabrum
Lineage: Eukaryota; Metazoa; Porifera; Homoscleromorpha; Homosclerophorida; Plakinidae
Exons: 3
Source: RefSeq, a predicted model, not a curated record